This 254-nucleotide ribosomal RNA is filed under the name uncultured bacterium. Its description in RNAcentral is "partial 16S ribosomal RNA". It matches the Rfam family "Bacterial small subunit ribosomal RNA", at positions 524 to 776 of the family's 1533-position model. The record is from RNAcentral.
UACGGGGGGGGGCAAGCGUUGUUCGGAAUUACUGGGCGUAAAGGGCCAGUAGGCGGCCAACUAAGUCGGAUGUGAAAUCCCCAGGCUCAACUUGGGAACUGCAUCCGAUACUGGAUGGCUUGAAUUCGGGAGAGGGAUGCAGAAUUCCAGGUGUAGCGGUGAAAUGCGUAGAUAUCUGGAGGAAUACCGGUGGCGAAGGCGGCAUCCUGGACCGACAUUGACGCUGAACGGCGAAAGCUAGGGGAGCAAACGGG